AAACUUGAGAGUUUGAUCAUGGCUCAGAACGUACGCUGGCGGCACGCCUAACACAUGCAAGUCGAACGAAGUAGCAAUACUUAGUGGCAGACGGGUGAGUAACAUGUAGGUAUCUGCCCUUUGGCCUGGAAUAACACGAGGAAACUUGUGCUAAUACCGGAUAAGUCUUUACGGAGAAAGCUUUAUGCACCAUUGGAUGAGCCUGCACUUGAUUAGUUUGUUGGUGGGGUAAUGGCCUACCAAGACUGUGAUCAAUAGCUGAUUUGAGAGGAUGAUCAGCCACAUUGGGACUGAGACACGGCCCAAACUCCUACGGGAGGCAGCAGUGGGGAAUCUUGCACAAUGGAGGAAACUCUGAUGCAGCGAUGCCGCGUGAGUGAAGAAGGCCCUUGGGUUGUAAAGCUCUUUCGUCGGGGAAGAAAAUGACUGUACCCGAAUAAGAAGGUCCGGCUAACUUCGUGCCAGCAGCCGCGGUAAUACGAAGGGACCUAGCGUAGUUCGGAAUUACUGGGCUUAAAGAGUUCGUAGGUGGUUGAAAAAGUUGGUGGUGAAAUCCCAGAGCUUAACUCUGGAACUGCCAUCAAAACUUUUCAGCUAGAGUAUGAUAGAGGAAAGCAGAAUUUCUAGUGUAGAGGUGAAAUUCGUAGAUAUUAGAAAGAAUACCAAUUGCGAAGGCAGCUUUCUGGAUCAUUACUGACACUGAGGAACGAAAGCAUGGGUAGCGAAGAGGAUUAGAUACCCUCGUAGUCCAUGCCGUAAACGAUGUGUGUUAGACGUUGGAAAUUUAUUUUCAGUGUCGCAGCGAAAGCGAUAAACACACCGCCUGGGGAGUACGACCGCAAGGUUAAAACUCAAAUGAAUUGACGGGGACCCGCACAAGUAGUGGAGCAUGUGGUUUAAUUCGAAGAUACGCGCAGAACCUUACCAACACUUGACAUGUUCGUCGCGACUCUAAGAGAUUAGAGUUUUCGGUUCGGCCGGACGAAACACAGGUGCUGCAUGGCUGUCGUCAGCUCGUGUCGUGAGAUGUUGGGUUAAGUCCCGCAACGAGCGCAACCCUCACUUUUAGUUGCCAUCAUUAAGUUGGGCACUCUGAAAGAACUGCCAGUGAUAAGCUGGAGGAAGGUGGGGAUGACGUCAAGUCCUCAUGGCCCUUACGUGUUGGGCUACACACGUGCUACAAUGGUAUCUACAACAGGAAGCAAGACUGCGAGGUCAAGCAAAUCCUUAAAAGAUACCUCAGUUCGGAUUGCACUCUGCAACUCGAGUGCAUGAAGCUGGAAUUACUAGUAAUCGUGGAUCAGCGUGCCACGGUGAAUGCGUUCCCGGGUCUUGUACACACCGCCCGUCACACCAUGGGAGUUGGUUCUACCUUAAGGCAAGGUUUAAUACCCUUGACCACGGUAUAGUCAGCGACUGGGGUGAAGUCGUAACAAGGUAGCCGUAGGGGAACCUGCGGCUGGAUUACCUCCUUU
Molecule: ribosomal RNA, 1475 nt
Filed under: Candidatus Pelagibacter sp.
Lineage: Bacteria; Pseudomonadati; Pseudomonadota; Alphaproteobacteria; Candidatus Pelagibacterales; Candidatus Pelagibacteraceae
Description: bacterial SSU rRNA
Rfam family: Bacterial small subunit ribosomal RNA
Source: RNAcentral